This 253-nucleotide ribosomal RNA is filed under the name uncultured bacterium. RNAcentral's name for it is "partial 16S ribosomal RNA". It matches the Rfam family "Bacterial small subunit ribosomal RNA", at positions 524 to 776 of the family's 1533-position model. The record is from RNAcentral.
UACGUAGGGGGCGAGCGUUAUCCGGAUUCACUGGGUGUAAAGGGAGCGUAGACGGCCAUGCAAGCCAGGGGUGAAAGCCCGGGGCCCAACCCCGGGACUGCCCUUGGAACUGCAUGGCUGGAGUGCGGGAGGGGCAGGCGGAAUUCCUGGUGUAGCGGUGAGAUGCGUAGAUAUCAGGAGGAACACCGGCGGCGAAGGCGGCCUGCUGGACCGCGACUGACGUUGAGGCUCGAAAGCGUGGGGAGCGAACAGG